AAUUGCCUGCAGCUGUGUCCCUUAGUACUUUAUGGGCCCCAGGCCUCAGGUUUUCUGUUAAUCUCUGUAUUUAGCCUACAGCUGUUUGGAUCACUGGUGGGUUCAGCAGAAGGAGCAGAUGCAAUAACUCAUGAGCUCAGGAGAAACCAGGUCAAGGAAGAGGAGGAUCUGAAGUGGGGACUGAGACCAAAAGAGCAGCCUUCAAAUGUUCUGUGGGAGCCACAGGAUCCCCUUUACUGGUUCAGCAUUAGGUUCCUCUUCUGUCUGCAUCCACCCUUCCUGAGGCUACUGCUCUUGGUGCCUGUAGUGGCGAUGAAAUCCUCCGUGCAUUAUUUUCUGCAGUUCCACCAGCACCUGAGGCAGACCCUGCCCCCCCAUACCCUCAGAGCUGGGGGGCUCCAUGGGACUGGGCCCUGCGUGGAGGGCUCAGGGCACCUCUCUGCAGCAAAACAGGUAGGGUUUGUGUGUCCUGAAUUUAGAGCAUCAGAGCCUAGAGGUCUUCAGC
RNAcentral lists this long non-coding RNA (505 nucleotides) under Anas platyrhynchos platyrhynchos (common mallard). RNAcentral's name for it is "lncRNA (ENSAPLG00000017987.1)". The record is from RNAcentral. Lineage: Eukaryota; Metazoa; Chordata; Aves; Anseriformes; Anatidae.